GGGAAUUUAGCUCAGCGGUAGAGCACUUGCCUAGCAAGCGCAAGGCCCUGGGUUCGGUCCCCAGUUCCG
Molecule: transfer RNA, 69 nt
Filed under: Rattus norvegicus (Norway rat)
Lineage: Eukaryota; Metazoa; Chordata; Mammalia; Rodentia; Muridae
Rfam family: tRNA
About the family: Transfer RNA (tRNA) molecules are approximately 80 nucleotides in length.
Source: Rfam by way of RNAcentral